AUUUUGUACAAUGGGGGAAACCCUGAUCCAGCAAUGCCGCGCGGAGGAGGAAGGCCUUCGGGUUGNACGCUGCUUUUGUACGGAACNCAAAGUCUUGGGCUAAUACGCUGGGAUCAUGACGGUACCGUAAGAAGGAGCACCGGCAAACUACGUGCCAGCAGCCGCGGUAAUACGUAGGGUGCAAGCGUUAAUCGGAAUUACUGGGCGUAAAGAGUGCGCAGGCGGUUGUGUAAGACAGUGGUGAAAUCCCCGGGCUCAACCUGGGAACUGCCAUUGUGACUGCAAGGCUGGAGUGCGGCAGAGGGGGAUGGAAUUCCGCGUGUAGCAGUGAAAUGCGUAGAUAUGCGGAGGAACACCGAUGGCGAAGGCAAUCCCCUGGGCCUGCACUGACGCUCAUGCACGAAAGCGUGGGGAGCAAACAGG
This 423-nucleotide ribosomal RNA is filed under the name uncultured bacterium. Its description in RNAcentral is "partial 16S ribosomal RNA". It matches the Rfam family "Bacterial small subunit ribosomal RNA", at positions 361 to 776 of the family's 1533-position model. The record is from RNAcentral.